ACUCGCUUGGUGAAAUCAUGGUAAACACGAUGGAUUUAAAAUUCAUUCCAGUAUUUAAGGUUAUCGGUUCGAGUCCGAUAGCGAGUA
Molecule: transfer RNA, 87 nt
Filed under: Batrachospermum sp.
Lineage: Eukaryota; Rhodophyta; Florideophyceae; Batrachospermales; Batrachospermaceae
Description: tRNA-Leu
Rfam family: tRNA
About the family: Transfer RNA (tRNA) molecules are approximately 80 nucleotides in length. Their secondary structure includes four short double-helical elements and three loops (D, anti-codon, and T loops).
Source: RNAcentral